UAGAACUAAUAUUCCGAAGGGUAGAAUGACAGAGUAACGCCUUGAAAUGCCCUCACUACAACCUGCGAAUGGCAACUGGAUAGGCAAUUUGAAAGUUGUUAUGGAGCUCGCCAAAGUCGGCUGAGAGAUACCGUAAGUUUUGCAGAAUAACUAUCUGCCAACUCGAAAGCUGUCCAGAGGUGGAUGGUGUAUCCUAUAGGCCGGGUGUCGCAUUA
RNAcentral lists this non-coding RNA (215 nucleotides) under Hungatella effluvii. Lineage: Bacteria; Bacillati; Bacillota; Clostridia; Lachnospirales; Lachnospiraceae. The record is from RNAcentral.